CUUUGUCUUAGUUGUGCACUGGUUUGAUGGCUCUUGCUUCUCAUUUAUAGGCAGGACAAGAAGGCUCUCGUGAGGCCUCUUUACGUGGUGGGUCUGAUUUAGAGAAUCAUCGAUGAGGUUGUCCUCAGAUUAAAAUUGCCUUCUCAUGCCUCUUGCUCUGUGUUACAAAUUUUAGAAGGGUAUAGUAUUACAUAUACUGGAUUUGGACUGCAUCUAACUCUUGUUCUUGCCGGUUUACUCUGUGAGUUGACUUAACUCCUUUUGAUUAAUAGCACACUCAUGUUCCCCAAAAAAGUGGAGUAAUAUGUGCAUGUAGGUUUUGGUUAAUUAUUUUCUGUGUGGGCAUAUUUUAUGGAAAUUACUUUUGAAGUGAAGGCAAACACAUGCAAUUUUGUUAACUGAAAUGCAAAAUAAAUGAAGCAAACAAUAAAACGUGGUGUAUUUUCAUAACUGUUUGUUGAAUAAGUGUAUGCUUAUUUCCUUUUUACUUGAUUUGAAAUAUUUUAGUAGUCAUUUUCUCAUGGAUAGAUAUCUGUACUUCAUUUAAAUAAUUAGUCCAAAGGCAUGACGAGCAGGUAUUGUUACGUUUCUCAAAAAUAGAAAGAGAAAACAUAAUUAUUCUGGGUUCCAUUUUCUAUAAUUCCAUACAAUAAUUUCAUGAUCUAAGCUUUAGCAUCAAUUUCUUUGACAAAACAAACGGCAAGUUUUAAGUCUGAACUGGACUGUUGCCGGUGCAUGUUUCUUACAUGAACUUUCUUGGGAACAUAUAAUCUUGUACAUGCAGAUACUGCAGUUUACGCAUGCUGAUAAGGCCCAUUUCAAUCUUUUUGUUUCUACAUGGUUCUCGUGCAUUUACAAAUGGAUCUUUAGAGAUCUUUAUGAAUCAGAAAAACCCCGAUACUGUGUAUUUUUUAUGGAAGAUCCAAAAGUAUGUUCUUAUUUUGGUUAUUUCUUACUACUCCCUCCGUUCCAAAUUACUUGUCGCAGAAAUGGAUGUAUCUAGAACUAAAUUACAUCUAGAUACAUCCAUACCUGCGACAAGUAAUUCGGAACGGAGGGAGUAGAUAAUAAGCUAUGAAGCAUGCCUGUUGAGAAUUGUUUUGCCGCUACUUGCUUUAGGGACAUAUAUUCGUAGACUCACAAGCCACAUAUGCUAGUCCACGAUCUUUACGCAAAUCAGGCCACAUAUGUAGGUUGACAUAAUCUUCUCUCAAUUCUUCUGUAUUUUAUUUCUCCUGGAUGUGAAAAGCAUGUUUCCUUUCUGUCAGCCAUUAUCAUUGGCACAGGGGACUUUAUCUUUUCCUUUCUUUUCAGCCAUUAUCCCACGCAUAGCAAAAUAUCUCAGACUAUACACAACUCCAAUACAAAGUGUAUGCGAUUGCACGACCUGCCACUCAUACGCCAUAAGAGCAAGCUUUUGUACAUCUAUAUCGACUACUAGGGUGUGCUUUGUACUGGAUAUGCACUAUACUGAUGCUGUUUCCCUUUUCACUAAAUGCUUGGGUAUUUCUUUUGGCGGAUUUGGUUCAUGUAGGUCAUACAACAUAAGCCAUCUGUGCUAUAUCCAGACACCCUUGUUGAUUGAAUCUGACCAAAAUGUAACUAGAUACUGGAUCUUGUGUAAGAUCCCAAUUUCUACUCAUUUGCUGACUUCUGUAUACUACAUCCGCCUUCGUGGAGACAGUAGCUAAGAAAAGUCAAGGCAGGUAUGUGGACAGUAGGGUCCUGAGCAGUAUUUUAUCCUCAUGGCCUAACUUCUCCAUUGCUAUGGAAUUAGUUGCUUUUUGUAUGUUUCUGGAGGAUCCCUCAGCACAAAAAGAUAAAUACAAUUUUUCCAUGACCAGGAGCAAGCCAGGAAGGCAUGGAAGCAGCACUGAUGUGGAGGCCACCAACCUGCCAAUCUUGCAGUCCACUUUGUGGCCUCUCUACACCUUUUUUAUCUUGGGCAUCUUUACUUCUGAAGGCCCCCCCAUACACUGCAGUUGUUUUCGCAUCCGAGCUCUUCUCGCUUGCUUCUUUAUUGGAACACUGAUCGGUCAUCAUCCGUGUGGUGACAAUUAGUUCCUGUUCCUAUACCCAUUGAAUGCAUCACAAGUCAGGUCCUUUUCUCAUAUAUGUGUAUCUCAAAAUCCUUUCAAUUAUUUUUUAUGCUCCUUGGCCUUUGGGAAGAAGGCUAAAAUAUUUUCUGAAAAUAAAGGCUUGGGAUCACAUUAUGUUUCUUCUCUCCUUUUUGUUUCUUUUAUACAUUUUGGCUAUAACCUAGAAGUUCACCCUACAUAUUUUGUUUUUCAAGAAAAAGCCUUGAAAUGGCUGGGAAGAAGUGUGUGUUCUUUUCUUUGCUCUGCACAAGUUUUCCAUCAAUUCUUGUGUUUUUCGGUGUCAACCUGAACCAUGUGGCACUACUGCAGUCUAACAAAAGAAAAGAAAAAAUAAGUCUUACUGCUACGCUUAACAAAUAAUUGGUAAAAUGAAAAUAAUGGUUUUGUAUAUAGCUCAUGACUCGGUAUGUGAAUUCUUGCAGGAUGGUGAGAUUGAUCAGGAAGUGGGUAGCAGGGGUUAUUGCCUUUGUUGCCGGGAGGACUCUCUUGCUAUGAUGAUGGUGACCACCGCAAACCACUGAGUCGACGGAUCGUCAAGUUCGUUUCAAAGAUUAUUAUGGUGACAAGCAAUAGGGAACCAAAGGCCACCACCCAAUUCCGUGUGAUUUGGUGUCACCCCGCUCAAAGUUGGAGCAAAAGCAGCGUCCACUGGAUGUUGGAAAAUUAAGGAUAUAUGCUUUUUGGCCUGUGCCGUGAGGUUUAAUAACACAUGAUGGGAUUAUGGAUUGACGCGACCGGGGGGCACCUGUCAUGUCAUAGGGCUUAGUGGAUGUCAUCGUAUCGUCGACGUACGCCACCAUUAGCGGGAAGGGAGAAGAUUGCCUUGUGGCCAUGAUCUUGACAUGUGGAUCGAUACUACCGGUACCAGUACCAGAGAACAGUAAGCAGUCGGUCCAGAUGGUCAUUUGGCCCGCAAAAUAUGUGCCAUCAGCAAGCCCAUGCUAUAGUUCUUUUUUUAUGGUGAACAGUGGAGGAGCAUGUGCCCCAGAGUUACUGUACUUAUCACCGACCAGAUGCCAGCAUUGUUGUUUUUUCUUUUUACUCUUCUUAUAAAUCAAAUUUCUAUUUUUUUUUUGCAAAUUCAAUCUUGUAUGCUCAAGAAGUUUAGGGAUUACAAUCCACUGUCUCUGUAACUAC
Triticum dicoccoides is the source of this 3236-nucleotide long non-coding RNA. RefSeq lists it as uncharacterized. NCBI's taxonomy places the organism in Eukaryota, Viridiplantae, Streptophyta, Magnoliopsida, Poales, Poaceae. The record is from RefSeq and is a predicted model, not a curated record. The transcript has 3 exons.